RNAcentral lists this ribosomal RNA (577 nucleotides) under Hanseniaspora uvarum. Its description in RNAcentral is "eukaryotic LSU rRNA". It matches the Rfam family "Eukaryotic large subunit ribosomal RNA", at positions 79 to 664 of the family's 3401-position model. The record is from RNAcentral. Lineage: Eukaryota; Fungi; Ascomycota; Saccharomycetes; Saccharomycodales; Saccharomycodaceae.
CUUAGUAACGGCGAGUGAAGCGGUAAAAGCUCAAAUUUGAAAUCUGGUACUUUCAGUGCCCGAGUUGUAAUUUGUAGAAUUUGUCUUUGAUUAGGUCCUUGUCUAUGUUCCUUGGAACAGGACGUCAUAGAGGGUGAGAAUCCCGUUUGGCGAGGAUACCUUUUCUCUGUAAGACUUUUUCGAAGAGUCGAGUUGUUUGGGAAUGCAGCUCAAAGUGGGUGGUAAAUUCCAUCUAAAGCUAAAUAUUGGCGAGAGACCGAUAGCGAACAAGUACAGUGAUGGAAAGAUGAAAAGAACUUUGAAAAGAGAGUGAAAAAGUACGUGAAAUUGUUGAAAGGGAAGGGCAUUUGAUCAGACAUGGUGUUUUUUGCAUGCACUCGCCUCUCGUGGGCUUGGGCCUCUCAAAAAUUUCACUGGGCCAACAUCAAUUCUGGCAGCAGGAUAAAUCAUUAAGAAUGUAGCUACUUCGGUAGUGUUAUAGCUUUUUGGAAUACUGUUAGCCGGGAUUGAGGACUGCGCUUCGGCAAGGAUGUUGGCAUAAUGGUUAAAUGCCGCCCGUCUUGAAACCACGGGACCA